Molecule: long non-coding RNA, 567 nt
Filed under: Elaeis guineensis (African oil palm)
Lineage: Eukaryota; Viridiplantae; Streptophyta; Magnoliopsida; Arecales; Arecaceae
Description: long non-coding RNA (EGUI_LNC060323)
Source: RNAcentral
ACAGCGACGUCUAUAACCAUCUGGUAGUGGAUCGCUCAGAGCCGCAUGGAGUUUGUUACGGAGAGUAGUGGCGUCAGGGGUCGUUCAGGGCCAUGUGGAGCUCGUUGCGGAGAGUGAAGUGGUGUCCGUUGUCGGGACUUGCCAGAGAGUGAUGGAGCUGCAUGAAAUUCGUUGCAGGGAGUGGAGCAGGAGGGCGGCUCUUGUCGCGACUCGUCAGAGAGUGGUGGAGCUGCAUGGAAUCCGUUGUAGGGAGUGGAGCAGGAGCACGGCUCUUGUCGUGACUUGUCAGAGAGCUCUGAUCCGUCGGCUGGAGCUCGGCUGGGACAUCUGAUGGAGCGAAAUGGCUCUCUAUUGUUGGUCUGAGGAAGCUCGGAUGUCUCCGAAGCUGCUGACGAGUCUAUUGUUGUCGGGUGGCUUAGGCGUUGAUACUACGGGUGGGAGUCACCUGCUACAGAAGCUCGGAUAGAAACUUUUUGUUGGCGAAGCUCAGUAGGAAUCUGAUUGUUGGAGAAGUCCGUCUGGGAUUCGCCCGAUGUGGAAACUCACCUGAAGAUGAUCCAUUGGAAA